CGGGAGGGGCGGCCCCGGUAAAGGGAGAGACGGCGCUGCCGCCGCUCCGCGCCUUGCUCGGGGCACGGAGUUGAUGAUUAACCUGCGGUUCACUGAAUACCUACCUGGCUCAAGUCGCGCCCGGGAUGUGGUUUAACCUUGUCCGAGGUUUCGGUACCUCGGGUUUUGCCUUUCUGCCCGAGACCCUGGUGCUGCUUUUGCUGCUACCGAAGCGCUGCGGGGAUGUGCAGCUCCCCUUUGAAAAUCUCUGCUGUUAAUAUCAGCCUAGACUUCGCUUUACAGUCGUUUUUAGAGGUUUGAGGCUCCAGAGGUCGAGGUGAUGUGGGACUCUCGGUCUCGGCGAGCAUUUUUGCAGCAGCAGCAGCCUCGGGCUGCAGUAGCUGGCACUUGAAUCCAUGUUGGCUCCUUUUCCUCGGGCGUGAGCUGCAAGGAGCUCAGCAGCUUCGGCAUUUAGUCCCAUUUGGGGAAACAUCUGUCCUUUGUGAGGAUGCCAGUACAGUUAUAGCCACUGACACUAUACAUGACCAGAGGCUCCAGUUUCUGGCAUCUCUUUCUAUUCAAUUUCUUCAGAUUAUCUGUAAAUUUUCAAUAAUGGCAAUACAUUCAUUCUGCCAUUUGGAGGAGCCUGUGCCACAGAAUAAUGAUCUGAAGAAAGCUCACUUAUUUGCAAGGAAGAGUCUUCAUUUGGGAAUUAGCACCGAUGCAGCUAAGAGGUGCUUCCUCAAGUUCAGCAGAACUGUUAUUGUUUCACCUCUGGUACAUGGACAAAACUGGGUUUUCUUCAUAGUUCAGGAUUCCUGUACCUGAAGAGUAAGAAGAGACAUUGUCUUUCAUUGCAACUUGCUGUGGACUAACUUCCUACUGUAUCAUUUAGUCCUGGAGACAUCAGUUGUAUAUGUUCCCACCCUCCAACCUUGUUUAUCUGCUUCACACAUAAAGGGUAAUGAAUAAAUACUUAUACCUCCUGGGGCA
This 972-nucleotide long non-coding RNA is filed under the name Lepidothrix coronata (blue-crowned manakin). RNAcentral's name for it is "lncRNA (ENSLCOG00000003786.1)". Lineage: Eukaryota; Metazoa; Chordata; Aves; Passeriformes; Pipridae. The record is from RNAcentral.